AACGAACGCUGGCGGCAUGCCUAACACAUGCAAGUCGAACGAGACCUCCGGGUCUAGUGGCGCACGGGUGCGUAACGCGUGGGAAUCUGCCCUUGGGUUCGGAAUAACAGUUAGAAAUGACUGCUAAUACCGGAUGAUGUCUUCGGACCAAAGAUUUAUCGCCCAAGGAUGAGCCCGCGUCGGAUUAGCUAGUUGGUGAGGUAAAGGCUCACCAAGGCGACGGUCCGUAGCUGGUCUGAGAGGAUGAUCAGCCACACUGGGACUGAGACACGGCCCAGACUCCUACGGGAGGCAGCAGUGGGGAAUAUUGGACAAUGGGCGAAAGCCUGAUCCAGCAAUGCCGCGUGAGUGAUGAAGGCCUUAGGGUUGUAAAGCUCUUUUACCCGGGAUGAUAAUGACAGUACCGGGAGAAUAAGCCCCGGCUAACUCCGUGCCAGCCGCCGCAGUAA
Molecule: ribosomal RNA, 449 nt
Filed under: uncultured bacterium
Lineage: Bacteria
Description: partial 16S ribosomal RNA
Rfam family: Bacterial small subunit ribosomal RNA
Source: RNAcentral